UUGACCUCGGAUCAGGUAGGAAUACCCGCUGAACUUAAGCAUAUCAAUAAGCGGAGGAAAAGAAACCAACAGGGAUUGCCUCAGUAACGGCGAGUGAAGCGGCAACAGCUCAAAUUUGAAAUCUGGCCUCACGGUCCGAGUUGUAAUUUGUAGAGGAUGCUUUUGGCGAGGUGCUUUCCGAGUUCCCUGGAACGGGACGCCAUAGAGGGUGAGAGCCCCGUACGGUAAGACCACCGAGCCUCUGUAAAGCUCCUUCGACGAGUCGAGUAGUUUGGGAAUGCUGCUCUAAAUGGGAGGUGUACGUCUUCUAAAGCUAAAUACCGGCCAGAGACCGAUAGCGCACAAGUAGAGUGAUCGAAAGAUGAAAAGCACUUUGAAAAGAGGGUUAAAAAGUACGUGAAAUUGUUGAAAGGGAAGCAUUCAUGACCAGACUUGGGCUUGGUUGAACAUCCGGCGUUCUCGCCGGUGCACUCUGCCAGUCCAGGCCAGCAUCAGUUUGCCCCGGGGGACAAAGGCGGUGGGAAUGUGGCUCCCUUCGGGGAGUGUUAUAGCCCGCCGUGUAAUGCCCUGGGGCGGACUGAGGAACGC
Molecule: ribosomal RNA, 588 nt
Filed under: Sarocladium strictum
Lineage: Eukaryota; Fungi; Ascomycota; Sordariomycetes; Hypocreales; Sarocladiaceae
Description: eukaryotic LSU rRNA
Rfam family: Eukaryotic large subunit ribosomal RNA
Source: RNAcentral